UCUAGAGUCUUUAUAUGAGAAAAGAGUUACCAUGUGGCUUUCACCACGGUUUCAAAGCACAAGGAUCGGGAACACACUGUAAUUUCCAUAUGAGGAGGAACAUAAGAAGAAAGGGACAGAAACACAACCCGCCCAAAUUAUUUAACAGUUUAAAUCUGAACUCCCCUAAAGGCUAGCACUCUAAAACAAAAUGAGUCCUUUAGGAUUUUAGGAUCUUUGUCCUAAAGAUCUCUGAACCUAAGAAUAUUUCAUGGUGCCAAGCUUCCGUCCGACAGCAGCUGGGCAUGACAGAGGAAAAAAGCCAAGACGUUCAUACAGAGAAGACUACAGCAGAAAAGAGGAAAAAGGUGGAAAAAGCAGGAAUGAAGGACACAGAAGAAGGAAGAUUUGGGGGCGAAAGGUGAUCUGCAAAAGGUGGGACUCCAAUUAUUCUGGUUAUACCACUGCCUAGAGACAACUAGUGGAAUUGAAUAUGAGUACCACUUCAAGCAAUUAAGAAAAACAGAGAGUUAUUUUCGUCGGUUUUACAAAGAAGUAUGAAUAAAAAGGACUGUUCGGGUUUUUGUUUCUUAGAAAUUUCCAUAGUUCCUCAGAGUUUUCCUAUGAAGAAGAAAGAGAAUAUAUAAUCUCAGUUACAAAUGGUAUAUUUAAGGUUUUACCAUCCUGAGAUGUGAUGAAUUUAUAAUUAUAUUGAAUUCACAGGUGUGUUUUAUCAUUAUCUUUUGAAAAAUAAUAAACUCUAACAAUAAGUCCCACGCCUAAUUGUUUUCCACACUAUUGCAUAUAGUCAUAGAUGCCUAAUUUUUAACUAGAAUAUUACAUAUUAAGUAGCUUUUUAUUUAGUGUUAGUAUAUAUAUUUUAAUGAAUUAUAAAUUCCUUAGAAGGCCUACAAUAAUUUUUACUUUAUAGUAAGAUUGCAGUUAUACCUGACUAGUUGGUAUACAUCCAUUUCUCCUUGAUCAAAUUCAACCCUGACAGAAAAUGAGUAUUAAAUAUACAGGACUUAAUUGAUUAUAACACUAGAAGAAAAGUGUAUAUGAAAGAAAAUAGGUGACAUUGUCCAAUAGCACAGUUUUUAAUUUAAAAAAUUACAUCAAAUCCAAAUAAAACUACUAUUUAAUUUCCAUUUAA
Macaca mulatta (Rhesus monkey) is the source of this 1132-nucleotide non-coding RNA. NCBI's taxonomy places the organism in Eukaryota, Metazoa, Chordata, Mammalia, Primates, Cercopithecidae. The record is from RefSeq and is a predicted model, not a curated record.